UACCAGCUCUCCGAGUGGUGUGGAUGUUUAUUGGGCCUAAAGCAUCCGUAGCUGGCUGGGCAAGUCCCCUGUUAAAUCCACCGAUUUAAUCGUUGGUGUGCGGGGGAUACUGUUCGGCUAGGGGACGGGAGAGGCCGACGGUAUUUUCGGGGUAGGGGUGAAAUCCUAUAAUCCCGGGAAGACCACCAGUGGCGAAGGCUGUCGGCUAGAACGCGCCCGACGGUGAGGGAUGAAGGCUGGGGGAGCGAACCGGAUUAGAUACCCGGGUAGUCCCAGCUGUAAACGAUGCAGGCUAGGUGUUUGGGCGGCCACGUGCCGCUCUAGUGCCGCAGAGAAGUCGUUAAGCCUGCCACCUGGGGAGUACGGCCGCAAGGCUGAAACUUAAAGGAAUUGGCGGGGGAGCACCACAAGGGGUGAAGCUUGCGGUUU
Molecule: ribosomal RNA, 429 nt
Filed under: uncultured archaeon
Lineage: Archaea
Description: bacterial SSU rRNA
Rfam family: Archaeal small subunit ribosomal RNA
Source: RNAcentral